Molecule: transfer RNA, 78 nt
Filed under: Salmonella enterica subsp. enterica
Lineage: Bacteria; Pseudomonadati; Pseudomonadota; Gammaproteobacteria; Enterobacterales; Enterobacteriaceae
Description: tRNA-Arg(tct)
Rfam family: tRNA
About the family: Transfer RNA (tRNA) molecules are approximately 80 nucleotides in length. Their secondary structure includes four short double-helical elements and three loops (D, anti-codon, and T loops). Further hydrogen bonds mediate the characteristic L-shaped molecular structure. tRNAs have two regions of fundamental functional importance: the anti-codon, which is responsible for specific mRNA codon recognition, and the 3' end, to which the tRNAs corresponding amino acid is attached (by aminoacyl-tRNA synthetases). tRNAs cope with the degeneracy of the genetic code in two manners: having more than one tRNA (with a specific anti-codon) for a particular amino acid; and 'wobble' base-pairing, i.e. permitting non-standard base-pairing at the 3rd anti-codon position.
Source: RNAcentral
GCGCCCUUAGCUCAGUUGGAUAGAGCAACGGCCUUCUAAGCCGUGGGGUCGCAGGUUCGAAUCCUGCAGGGCGCGCCA